RNAcentral lists this ribosomal RNA (496 nucleotides) under uncultured bacterium. RNAcentral's name for it is "partial 16S ribosomal RNA". It matches the Rfam family "Bacterial small subunit ribosomal RNA", at positions 28 to 506 of the family's 1533-position model. The record is from RNAcentral.
GAUGAACGCUGGCGGCGUGCCUAAUACAUGCAAGUCGAGCGAACAGACGAGGAGCUUGCUUCUCUGACGUUAGCGGCGGACGGGUGAGUAACACGUGGAUAACCUACCUAUAAGACUGGGAUAACUUCGGGAAACCGGAGCUAAUACCGGAUAAUAUAUUGAACCGCAUGGUUCAAUAGUGAAAGACGGUUUUGCUGUCACUUAUAGAUGGAUCCGCGCCGCAUUAGCUAGUUGGUAAGGUAACGGCUUACCAAGGCAACGAUGCGUAGCCGACCUGAGAGGGUGAUCGGCCACACUGGAACUGAGACACGGUCCAGACUCCUACGGGAGGCAGCAGUAGGGAAUCUUCCGCAAUGGGCGAAAGCCUGACGGAGCAACGCCGCGUGAGUGAUGAAGGUCUUCGGAUCGUAAAACUCUGUUAUUAGGGAAGAACAAAUGUGUAAGUAACUAUGCACGUCUUGACGGGACCUAAUCAGAAAGCCACGGCUAACUACGU